Molecule: non-coding RNA, 1923 nt
Organism: Taeniopygia guttata (zebra finch)
Lineage: Eukaryota; Metazoa; Chordata; Aves; Passeriformes; Estrildidae
Source: RefSeq, a predicted model, not a curated record
CGCUGCCCCGCGCGCGGGGGGCGGAGAGGGGCGGGCCGGCGCGCCGCCAUCUUGCCGCCGUUAACCCCUCAGGGGCCGGGCCCGGGCCCGCACCCCGCACCCCGCACCCCGCACCCCGCGCGGCCCCUGCCCCGCCCCGGGGCUGCCCUGGCCCUGAGGGUCCUGUGGCGGGUGGCGCCGGGUUCGCGUAGGGACACAGAACCAGCACCGGGUUCGCGUCGGGGCACAGAACCAGCGAGGCCUCCGCUGCUUUUCGCAAAACGCGUGUGACGGUCACGGUUUCACUUCCCUCUCCCCUCCCCACGGGCCGUGGGGACAGCAGCUCAAAGCGGUUGCUAACAAGGUGAUUAAACCUUGAACCACGCAAAUAAAGGCCUUGUUCAAAAAUGGAAAGUGAGUGAAUUAUUAACUUGAAAGCCAACAGGGUUUCAGUGAACCGGAGGGCAGGAGUUGGCCGGGCCGGGCGCUGGAGGUCACCGCCCUGCGCUGCCCCCCGGGAGCCGCGGCCGCCCCGCCCGGCUCGCACCGAGCGCGCCGCGCCGCAGGGCUGGAGGGACCCGCAGGGCUCAGCCAGCCCCGCCAGCCCGGGAAACAGCGCCUGACAUCGCGUGCCUCAAGUGCUGGAAAUGCCAUUCGUUCCUGGCGGUGUCGGUGAUAAGGCUUGCUAGAGACCAUACUAAUGAAAAAUAAUUGUUCCUGCCACAGACCGCUUGUAAUUUAUACACAAACUCCUCAACCACCUCUCCUGAUCUCCAUGACCUUUCAAAGAUCAUCAUGAGAGACCUCACUGUAGUGUCUGCCAGUUCUCUCAGCACUCAUUGAUGCAGCCCAUCAAGGCCUGUGUGUUCUUCAAAAACAUUGUGCCUCCUGUAGGACUAACUGAAUCAACUAAGAGAGCACAAGUGUACAUUUAAAUUGGACUCCCUGAUAUCGGCUAAGAAAGAGAUACCUGAGAAUUAGCAGAAAAAAAGUGCCUCCAGGACACAUCUUGAUUUUUUAAACAUGCUUUGCUCAGGUCUUCAGCAGCCAAACUUUACAAUUUUGCCUGAACGGUAUUAUGGACUUUUCAGACCUCUAGCCCAACUUGAGUGAGCACAUUUAAUGCCUGGCUGAAUCAGGCACAUGAUGAGCACCACAGUGUCCAGCAGGCACAGCCAGGAGCUGCGUGUUUCACUCUGGAAAAUAACUGGUGUCCUGGGAGAGAGGAACACCCCCCCAUUUGUUUGCAAUGGCUGCUCAAACACUGUUAUGCUAGAAGCUGUCUAUUCUAGGAAGUUAAGGAAUACACUGAUACUGGGCCAGCUCUUUCUGUGCAGCAAAGCCCAGUUUCUAUGAGCUUUCAGGGAUCACUGAGCAGAUAACUCAGUGCUGGGAACGUGAGAGCACUGUGUCCUGCUGGGUUGGAGGCAGCUGGAGGUGGCAAGCAGUUUUGCAAGGGAGCCAUUUGUAUUUAAAAUUUUAGAUCUGCGUUGUAGAGUGUCAUUUUAGAUACCCAGGUUUAAAAGUUGGAACUUAAAUUUAGGUGUGGAUUAACAACUGGACUUUGUCUCUUGUGGGAAAUGAAUUUCCAGGUUGGGAAAUACUCUAACAAGGCAGUUUUCCCAUUUGCUAAAAUAGCUAUUCGUUUUAAUUUGCAUAAAGAAUAUGGAUGUAUGAGUUCCCAAUUACUUUAAAAGCAAUGAUAUGAUGAAGUAAUUAGUUCAAUGAGGAAAUGAUAUUACGUAGUGGCAAGCUUAGUUUGCCAAGGAUCAAUUUGUUGACAUUUGAAUCCAACUAGAAAUGAAAUGCAUGGAACAAAAAGUAGAAUAUUUUAGUAAAAAAGCCAUCUCAUCAAUUUGGAUACAAAUUAAAAGCAUCUCUGCUUCCCAGCCAGAGGGUCUAAGUAAGGGAUUUCUCUGCAGUGGAAGACUCACAAUGACCAUU